AACAUUACAGCCAUCAGAGAACAAACUGUCCCAACAUCUCUCUCCUGACUAUGACGUCCACGCUGUAGAUAGUCGACCAUCUGCACAGAGCGGACAACACCGCGCGUUGUGACGGGCACCCGUGCCAACCAAUGCCAGUCUCUUAUCCCUCAAACUUUACAAUGUGUUUUGUUUUUGUGCUAAACUCUGCAGAAAAGCAAAGAUUACAGGAACCAAAUGAGGAGGAGGGCCGAGUGCUGAGAUCCACUGAAAACAGUUACUUUGUCUUCCCUAAACAUCUUCAAGGUCUUGACUGAGGAAUAAAUUCCCAGGAGGAAGAGUUUUCAGUGAGAUCUGGGGUUCUGGAGUUUGUCUCAAUCCACCGAGGUCUCGUUGCUGAUCGUUCAGUCUCAACUCGCUUUUCCUUUUUCCUAUGCAUAUACUUCUUUGAGAUGUAGCAUUAAAGAGGCAUACGGCAUGGGAAAAUGGGGCUGCAGAGGUAUUUCACCUGUGUCCAAAACUGCGGAGGAAUCUCAACCCACCGCAUGAACCUCAGCGCUCGACAGACUUCAUUAAAACUAACGAUGCUGAAACCCUCAGGAAUGUUGUUUAAUCUUCAGUUUCACAUGCAAAAUAAAAGUCAAUGCACUCCGCUGACUCAUUUAAUUGAAUAAAGUCGCUUUAUUAGAAAAA
Misgurnus anguillicaudatus (oriental weatherfish) is the source of this 672-nucleotide long non-coding RNA. RefSeq lists it as uncharacterized. Lineage: Eukaryota; Metazoa; Chordata; Actinopteri; Cypriniformes; Cobitidae. The record is from RefSeq and is a predicted model, not a curated record.